CGACCUUAUCCGAAUGUCGUUGUCAUCGACUAUCGUCGACCAUCUUCUAAUGUGUCCGACCAUCUCCAAACACCCUCAACCACUCCAAAUGCGGUCGACCAUCUCCCAACACCGUCUGUCAUCGAAUUUGUAUUUUUCAGGGUUUGUUUAUUGGGGUCAUGAUCAUUUUACAAGUCAGUGGUGGGAAAAGUUUGCAUCUAUUGCUCUUUAGCAAAGACACGUUCUUCAUUUAUCUUUUGCCUUUGAUUAUAUUCAACGCCUGGUAAAGUUUCUGCACCAUAUGAUUCAUGAUGCCUGCAACAAAUUUAUACUGGUAGUGGUCCUUUUAUACAUCAUAAGCAAUGGGUGAGUUGUUUUUCUUCAUGCAUAAUUGUUGACCAUGACCACAGCUACAUUUGGUCUGUACUUGUUGCUGUAUUAUGGUUUAUUUAGAAAGAAGUCAGAUUGUAGAAUUGAACUUCUUGUCAUUUGUGCUGCGCAUGGUAACCUAAAGUUAUGAUCCAACAUGUUCUAGAGGUUGAAGCAAACAUCUUUUAUUGAGGUUGAAUUAGAUUUUAGCCAAUUCAUUGUUUUU
Long non-coding RNA from Cucumis sativus (cucumber), 574 nucleotides. RefSeq lists it as uncharacterized. Lineage: Eukaryota; Viridiplantae; Streptophyta; Magnoliopsida; Cucurbitales; Cucurbitaceae. The transcript is spliced from 2 exons. The record is from RefSeq and is a predicted model, not a curated record.